This 477-nucleotide ribosomal RNA is filed under the name uncultured bacterium. RNAcentral's name for it is "partial 16S ribosomal RNA". It matches the Rfam family "Bacterial small subunit ribosomal RNA", at positions 28 to 507 of the family's 1533-position model. The record is from RNAcentral.
GAUGAACGCUGGCGGCGUGCCUAAUACAUGCAAGUCGAGCGAACAGAUGAGGAGCUUGCUCCUCUGACGUUAGCGGCGGACGGGUGAGUAACACGUGGAUAACCUACCUAUAAGACUGGGAUAACUUCGGGAAACCGGAGCUAAUACCGGAUAAUAUAUUGAACCGCAUGGUUCAAUAGUGAAAGACGGUUUUGCUGUCACUUGUAGAUGGAUCCGCGCCGCAUUAGCUAGUUGGUAAGGUAACGGCUUACCAAGGCAACGAUGGGUAGCCGACCUGGGAGGGGGACCGGGAAAAUGGGGACUGAGAUAAGGCACAGACGGCUACUGGAGGCAGAAGUGGGGAAUAUUGCAAAAUGGGGGGAAGCGUGAUGAAGAAAUGCCGCGAGCGGGAUGACGGCCUUCGCGUUGUAAACCACGUUAGCCUGUGAUGAAGCGGGAGUGACGGUAAUGGGUAAAGAAGCAACGGCUAACUACGUG